This is a long non-coding RNA of Capsicum annuum, 1195 nucleotides long. RefSeq lists it as uncharacterized. NCBI's taxonomy places the organism in Eukaryota, Viridiplantae, Streptophyta, Magnoliopsida, Solanales, Solanaceae. The transcript is spliced from 4 exons. The record is from RefSeq and is a predicted model, not a curated record.
GAUAGAAUUGGACCUCAAUUUUUAUUUCAAUCCCGAAUUGUUUGAUAAAGCUACCAGUGGAAUACCCGAAUUAAACCUCAACAGCGACCAACAACUCGACAAACUUUGAAUCGCCCUCUGUUCAAAUCAAAAGCCAAUGGCAAAAUCGCGAAAUCAGAACCCAAACUGACCUAAAACAAAUAUCGCGAAAAAACAGAUCAACCCAAACCCAUUUUCAUAUGUCACACUGCUGGAUCAUCUUUUGGCCAUGGGUUGCGACGGAAUCGAAGUUGGUUUGUUGUUACUGCUUAGUCGGAGCUUCGAUGAGCUCAAUCGGCUGCAAGCAUGACUAAUUUCAACACUUUACGAGGAUCCUGACGUCAUUCCAGUGACCUUUGCUCCGUUUUUAUCCUCACUGUUAUUCAACAACGGCGAUUGAUGAUACAUUGCCAGAGAAGAUCGGUCCCAAUCAUCCAUUGUUCCUGAAUGCAGGUGAUAAUUUAGGAGCAGUGCUCUGUAGCUGAAUGGUUCAGAAAACUAUUCAAUUUGGAAUCGAGCAAUAAACAUUGCAAUUGUAGGAAGAAACAAGCUAGGGUUUAUUGAUGUUGAUCCAAAUCUGGUUGUAUUAUGGGAUAGGUGCAAUGCAAUAGUGCUUUCAUGGAUAAUGAGCGGUGUGUCUAAGGAAUUGCUUGGGGGAAUUGUUUACUCGUCUUAUGUUGUCUCUGUGUGGCAUGAUCUUCAGGAACGUUUUGAUAAAGUUGAUGGAUCUCGAACCUAUCAGCUUCAUUAAGAAAUUGCAACAAUUCACCAAGUCAGGUGCAGAGAAGGUGACAGCAUGUCCUUGCUAGCAAGGCGCUUCACUAGUCUAAGAAGAGGAUUAACAAUGUCUUGACCUGUAAAUGCGACAAGAAAGACUCGAACAAGACUACUUUGGUGUUUUGUGAUGCAGAAGCCAUUUUAGUCAUUGAUGUUUCAGUAGGUUCUGAGGCACAGUCUAGGGGUCCAGAUAAACAGUAGAUAUUUCAGAUUGCAGAUCAGAUUGUGCAGUGGUGAGGCUUCUAUGAUCCAGAAGGCUAGUUAUUUCAGAUAAUUAUCUUUAGUUCUAUUUUGGUCUAUUGGGGUCCUUGUUGACAGUUUGUUUAGUCCAUAGUAGAGAUUUCAAAGACUGAGUCAGACAUUAUUAUUCAGAUAUAUCUUGGAUUUUAGUUUUUGGUGU